This 451-nucleotide ribosomal RNA is filed under the name uncultured bacterium. RNAcentral describes it as "partial 16S ribosomal RNA". It matches the Rfam family "Bacterial small subunit ribosomal RNA", at positions 29 to 523 of the family's 1533-position model. The record is from RNAcentral.
AACGAACGCUGGCGGCAUGCCUAACACAUGCAAGUCGAACGAUUGCCUUCGGGUGAUAGUGGCGCACGGGUGCGUAACGCGUGGGAAUCUGCCCUUGGGUUCGGAAUAGCAGCUGGAAACGGCUGCUAAUACCGGAUGAUAUCGCGAGAUCAAAGAUUUAUCGCCUGAGGAUGAGCCCGCGUUGGAUUAGGUAGUUGGUGGGGUAAAGGCCUACCAAGCCGACGAUCCAUAGCUGGUCUGAGAGGAUGAUCAGCCACACUGGGACUGAGACACGGCCCAGACUCCUACGGGAGGCAGCAGUGGGGAAUAUUGGACAAUGGGCGCAAGCCUGAUCCAGCAAUGCCGCGUGAGUGAUGAAGGCCCUAGGGUUGUAAAGCUCUUUUACCCGGGAAGAUAAUGACUGUACCGGGAGAAUAAGCCCCGGCUAACUCCGUGCCAGCCGCCGCAGUAA